GUGCAAUAGCUAUUCACCCUGAAUGAAUAGGUUCUAGUGUAACCGACUCUUCUGAUCUUACAAGAGUGAUUAAGGGCUGGAUUAUCUCGUCCACAAUGGCAUGUCUAAUGGCCCUGCAAUCUCGAGAUUGCACGAUCUUAUAGAUGUGCAACCAACUGUUUGACACCCUUUUAUGUAAAUAAUCGGAGCCCGAAGGAUUAAAGAUAAGCCAAUCAAUCCCUCUCAGAGUACUCCUUACUGCUCUUAUUGUUCUCUAAAUCUGACUUGAUUAUCGAAAGAUUCUCGCUGGAGUGAAAACCUCUGGUUUGGAUUUGUUUUGCAACUCACUCCAGUGCUAGCAUCCCUGCACGAAGCUUAGCCGCUUUCUCUCUAACCUCGACAAAAUCGAGCAGCAACAGGUGAGAUUGAUAGUGCUAGCAAGCUCUGCAUGAACUUCCCCAUCUGUAAGCUUCCGGGCAAGGGGCAACCUCCUAAUUUUCUCUCUUCAGGCAUUGCAGAUGUGGUGGAUAAUUCCAAUUUUAAGAUCCUUCUUCUCAGCUGGGCAUUUGCUCGUGCGCUGGGUUAUGGCAAAUGAUCCGUGGAUCAUUGAUAGCCAGAUUCUCGUGUUAGAACCUUGUGGCAGCCAAAUAUAGGUUCGCAAAUUUGGACAGCUUUCAAAUCCAAAGAAGAUAGUCAAAAUCUACAGAGCUGUAGUUUCAGGUGCAGAAUGGCUUAAAGAAGCCUUUUAUUGGCAAAUUGGUAAGGGCAAUCACAGUGAUGUCUC
This 763-nucleotide long non-coding RNA is filed under the name Elaeis guineensis (African oil palm). Its description in RNAcentral is "long non-coding RNA (EGUI_LNC053199)". Lineage: Eukaryota; Viridiplantae; Streptophyta; Magnoliopsida; Arecales; Arecaceae. The record is from RNAcentral.